Molecule: small nucleolar RNA, 79 nt
Filed under: Ciona intestinalis (vase tunicate)
Lineage: Eukaryota; Metazoa; Chordata; Ascidiacea; Phlebobranchia; Cionidae
Source: RNAcentral
ACAUGCCUAUGAUGAAAAAUAUCACCAUCUUUCGACUGAUAUUUAGUGAUGUUUUCUUCACUUUGACCUGAGGCAUGGU